RNAcentral lists this ribosomal RNA (245 nucleotides) under uncultured bacterium. Its description in RNAcentral is "partial small subunit ribosomal RNA". It matches the Rfam family "Bacterial small subunit ribosomal RNA", at positions 26 to 285 of the family's 1533-position model. The record is from RNAcentral.
AGGAUAAACGCUGGCGGCGUGCCUAACACAUGCAAGUCGCACGAGAAAGGGGAGCAAUCCCUGAGUAAAGUGGCGCACGGGUGAGUAACACGUGAAUUAUCUACCUCCGAGUGGGGAAUAACCUAGAGAAAUCUGGGCUAAUACCGCAUAACACUUACGAGUCAAAGCAGCAAUGCGCUUGGAGAGGAGUUCGCGGCCGAUUAGUUAGUUGGCGGGGUAAUGGCCCACCAAGACGAUGAUCGGUA